CGGGGUGUAGCUCAGUCUGGCCAGAGCGCUGCGUUCGGGACGCAGAGGUCGCUGGUUCAAAUCCAGUCACCCCGA
This 75-nucleotide transfer RNA is filed under the name Planctomycetota bacterium. RNAcentral's name for it is "Planctomycetes bacterium tRNA-Pro". It matches the Rfam family "tRNA". Rfam says of the family: Transfer RNA (tRNA) molecules are approximately 80 nucleotides in length. Lineage: Bacteria; Pseudomonadati; Planctomycetota. The record is from RNAcentral.